UCAGACGAUGCGUCAUGCAUAUCAAUAAGCGGAGGAAAAGAAACUAACAAGGAUUCCCUUAGUAACGGCGAGUGAAGCGGGAAGAGCUCAAAUUUGAAAUCUUCAAGGUUUUACCUUGACGAAUUGUAGUUUAAAGAAGUGUUUUCUGUUGAAGUUUUGGUAAAAGUUCUUUGGAAUAGGACAUCAUAGAGGGUGAGAAUCCCGUAUUUGACCAUUAUUUUCAGCUGUGUGAUACACUUUCAAAGAGUCGGAUUGUUUGGGAAUGCAGUCCAAAAUGGGUGGUAAAUUUCAUCUAAAGCUAAAUAUUGGCGAGAGACCGAUAGCGAACAAGUACCGUGAGGGAAAGAUGAAAAGAACUUUGAAAAGAGAGUUAAACAGUACGUGAAAUUGUCAAAAGGGAAGCGUUUGACACCAGUGUUGUUUUCUCGAAAAUCAAUUAAAAAGAGUUGGAUUUUGUGUUGUAUUGACCUUAACAGCUUGCUUCACUCUUUUCCUGCUUUUUUUAAUGCACUUUUCGUUUAACAAGUCAACAUCAGUUUCUUUUGUUGUAAAAGGGUCAUUGGAAGGUGGCUUUCUCUUCGGAGAAAGUGUUUAUAGCCUUUGAUCUCUGCAAUCGGAGAGACUGAGGUCUGCAGCGUAGAUCCUUCGGGGUUAGAUACAUUUGUGCUAAGCUACAGCUUUUCAUAGACAACUUGUUGACUAUGUUUAGUCUUGUAACUUACCCGCUUAUGCUAUUUUACCUACGCUUAGGAUGUUGAUAUGCAUGACUGAUAU
RNAcentral lists this ribosomal RNA (774 nucleotides) under uncultured Neocallimastigales. RNAcentral's name for it is "partial large subunit ribosomal RNA". It matches the Rfam family "Eukaryotic large subunit ribosomal RNA", at positions 18 to 635 of the family's 3401-position model. Lineage: Eukaryota; Fungi; Neocallimastigomycota; Neocallimastigomycetes; Neocallimastigales. The record is from RNAcentral.